This 75-nucleotide transfer RNA is filed under the name Coriobacteriia bacterium. RNAcentral's name for it is "tRNA-Ile". It matches the Rfam family "tRNA". Rfam says of the family: Transfer RNA (tRNA) molecules are approximately 80 nucleotides in length. Their secondary structure includes four short double-helical elements and three loops (D, anti-codon, and T loops). The record is from RNAcentral. Lineage: Bacteria; Bacillati; Actinomycetota; Coriobacteriia.
GGGCCCUUAGCUCAACGGUGGAGCAGGGGACUCAUAAUCCUUUGGUUGUCAGUUCGAAUCUGGCAGGGCCCACCA